RNAcentral lists this ribosomal RNA (581 nucleotides) under Blidingia sp. XZ-2010. RNAcentral describes it as "eukaryotic LSU rRNA". The stretch from base 182 to 333 matches the Rfam family "5.8S ribosomal RNA". The record is from RNAcentral. Lineage: Eukaryota; Viridiplantae; Chlorophyta; Ulvophyceae; Ulvales; Ulvaceae.
GUAUCCACACGUGAACCGCAACGAGCGCCGCGCAGGGCGAGAGCCCGGCGUCCCAUGCGGGCGGGAGCCCGCGUGGGGGGGGACUCGUCCCCUUGGCCCGAUCCUCUUUUUUCCCACCGGAUUAAACCGAUUGCCUGAAGCUUGACGUGUGCGGGGCCUCCCCGCCGCGACUAAUUGAGACAACUCUCAACAACGGAUAUCUUGGCUCUCGCAACGAUGAAGAACGCAGCGAAAUGCGAUACGUAGUGUGAAUUGCAGAAUUCCGUGAAUCAUCGAAUCUUUGAACGCAUAUUGCGGUGGUGCCUCGGUAUCACCAUGUCUGCCUCAGCGUCGGAGUACCCCCCUCACCCCUACUCCCCCGGAGUAGGCGUGGACCUGGCCUCCCGAGGCGCUCGCGGCUCGGCUGGCUGAAGUGCAGAGGAGCACGCUCGGGCCUGUAUGGCACCGGCAAGGUAGGUAGCUCGACUACUCCUGCCGACGCCUUGGGCUCGCGGCGGCUCCCGCAGGAAAUACUCUCUUCUCGACCUGAGAUCAGGCAAGGCUACCCGCUGAACUUAAGCAUAUCAAUAAGCGGAAGGAAA